This 460-nucleotide ribosomal RNA is filed under the name uncultured bacterium. Its description in RNAcentral is "partial 16S ribosomal RNA". It matches the Rfam family "Bacterial small subunit ribosomal RNA", at positions 338 to 795 of the family's 1533-position model. The record is from RNAcentral.
CCUACGGGUGGCAGCAGUGAGGAAUAUUGGUCAAUGGACGCAAGUCUGAACCAGCCAUGCCGCGUGCAGGAAGACGGCCCUAUGAGUUGUAAACUGCUUUUGUACGAGGGUAAACCCAGAUACGCGUAUCUGUUUGAAAGUAUCGUACGAAUAAGGAUCGGCUAACUCCGUGCCAGCAGCCGCGGUAAUACGGAGGAUUCAAGCGUUAUCCGGAUUUAUUGGGUUUAAAGGGUGCGUAGGCGGUUUGAUAAGUUAGUGGUGAAAUCUCGGGGCUCAACAUCGAAAUUGCCUGUGAUACUGGUAGGCUAGAGAAUAGUUGCGGUAGGCGGAAUGUAUGGUGUAGCGGUGAAAUGCUUAGAGAUCAUACAGAACACCGAUUGCGAAGGCAGCUUACCAAGCUACUUCUGACGUUGAGGCACGAAAGCGUGGGGAGCAAACAGGAUUAGAUACCCUAGUAGUC